GUCAGGAUGGCUAGGCGGUCUAAGGCGCCAGACUCAAGUUCUGGUCUCCAUUUGGAGGCGUGGGUUCAAAUCCCAAUCCUAACA
This 84-nucleotide transfer RNA is filed under the name Acropora cervicornis. Its description in RNAcentral is "tRNA-Leu". It matches the Rfam family "tRNA". From Rfam's summary of the family: Transfer RNA (tRNA) molecules are approximately 80 nucleotides in length. The record is from RNAcentral. Lineage: Eukaryota; Metazoa; Cnidaria; Anthozoa; Scleractinia; Acroporidae.